Molecule: ribosomal RNA, 459 nt
Filed under: uncultured bacterium
Lineage: Bacteria
Description: partial 16S ribosomal RNA
Rfam family: Bacterial small subunit ribosomal RNA
Source: RNAcentral
CCUACGGGAGGCAGCAGUGAGGAAUAUUGGUCAAUGGGCGCGAGCCUGAACCAGCCAAGUCGCGUGAGGGAAGACGGUCCUAUGGAUUGUAAACCUCUUUUGUCGGGGAGCAAAAGACGCCACGCGUGGCGUUCCGAGAGUACCCGAAGAAAAAGCAUCGGCUAACUCCGUGCCAGCAGCCGCGGUAAUACGGAGGAUGCGAGCGUUAUCCGGAUUUAUUGGGUUUAAAGGGUGCGCAGGCGGAAGAUCAGGUCAGCGGUAAAAUUGAGAGGCUCAACCUCUUCGAGCCGUUGAAACUGGUUUUCUGGAGUGAGUGAGAGGUAGGCGGAAUGCGUGGUGUAGCGGUGAAAUGCAUAGAUAUCACGCAGAACUCCGAUUGCGAAGGCAGCAUACCGGCGCUCAACUGACGCUCAUGCACGAAAGUGUGGGUAUCGAACAGGAUUAGAUACCCUUGUAGUC